Non-coding RNA from Pelobates cultripes (western spadefoot toad), 202 nucleotides. Lineage: Eukaryota; Metazoa; Chordata; Amphibia; Anura; Pelobatidae. The record is from the annotation of a GenBank genome assembly.
AUUCUAUACAAGAGGUUGAAUAAUUUUGAGACUGGAUCAUUAUAAGUUGCAUUUUCAGUUGAAUUUGGGGAAACCACUUGAAGCAGUCAUUGUGCUGAGCUAUUUCAAUAGCUUUUGUUUGAUUUGUUCAUUGUAAACAGCUGAAAGUCUGUAAGUUUUGACAAUAAACCUGAUUUUUACUUUUUACUAAUAUCCUGAGUCU